AAAAAUUUGCUUUCACAUCCAAACUUGAAGAACCUUUCAUAUAGAUUCUGUACGCGUCCCACUCUCUAAUUCCGUUGUAAAUGGCGAGAGCUCCCUUCAGUCUCAUACGCUGCAUGUCUCUGAAUCCGUUUCUUCAUAUAGUUCUAUAGAAGAAAAGGAUAUAAAAUCAUUUCAUUCAUCUCAAAAUUCAAAACCCAUCUCCUGAUAUUUCUCUAAAAUCCUUAAAAACCAUCUUCUCAAUCUUUGCUUUUAUGGCGGGAACUCCAUUGCUGGUGAGAAAGUUUUCAAAGCUUUGAGAUUCUGUGAUUCUUGUUCUUGUUUUUUGCAUUUGGGAUUUGUGUAUCUGUAAAUAUAAGAAUACAGAAUCUCUUCUUUUGAUUGUUUUCUUUCUUUUAUGGCGAACCCAUCUGAUACCCAUCAUCAAGAUGCCAAUCGUGCGCCCUCUUCUUCACUGGAGCAAACCCCACUAAAACAACAAGUCCUAUUCCAGGUUUGAGACAUGACCCUGGUAUCUCCACUGAAUGGAGCAAGGAAGAGCAAACAAGUCUUGAAGAUGGUUUAGUCAAUUGGUGGUGUUACAGGGAAGCUUCUCGAGCAAAAUGCCGAGGCCUUCUAUCAAAUAUCUGCUAAUCUUUCUACAAUGCAGCUACAGAAGAACAUCAGUCUCCUCUGCCGAGUAUGUUGGAACUUGUGCCUUUGAUGAUCUGACUGAGUUGCUGUCAAGCUUGGUCCUAUUUCUUCCCAAAUAGAAUUCGUCUGUCUCGUUUAUAUUUGCAGGUUGAAUGACAUGCCUGAUGUAAUGAAGCAGAUGCCACCAUUGCCAUUCAAGUUGAAUGAAAAGCUAGCUAACACCAUGCUUCCCUAUCGUCCGAAUCUUCCAAUGAAAUGAUCAUGACCCUUCUCAGUCAGAUCAUCCAGCCUCCGAUCAACUAAUCUGUAGACGAUGGAACAGCCACCACCGGCCGGUUGACCUAUGAUUUUGCUUUGGAAAUGGCGUGUAGUUCAUCAUGCUAUAGAUUUUAGUAUUUUGUUUUUGCUGCCUUCAAUUACAGUUUGCUUUGAAGAAAUGGUACAUUUCAUAUAGAAAGUUAUGAAAAGGAUAAAUAUUUUUU
Long non-coding RNA from Manihot esculenta (cassava), 1112 nucleotides. RefSeq lists it as uncharacterized. The transcript has 3 exons. NCBI's taxonomy places the organism in Eukaryota, Viridiplantae, Streptophyta, Magnoliopsida, Malpighiales, Euphorbiaceae. The record is from RefSeq and is a predicted model, not a curated record.